RNAcentral lists this transfer RNA (27 nucleotides) under Lithodora zahnii. Its description in RNAcentral is "partial tRNA-His". Lineage: Eukaryota; Viridiplantae; Streptophyta; Magnoliopsida; Boraginales; Boraginaceae. The record is from RNAcentral.
AAAAAUUAUAUAUAUUUAUAUAUAAGG